ACACGUAUUUCCCAGGGGUCUUGUCAAAAUGCAGACUGUGAUUCCAUAGGUCUGAGUGUGACCUGGGAGUCUGCAUUUCUGUAAGCUUCUAGGGCAUCCUCUG
RNAcentral lists this microRNA precursor (103 nucleotides) under Marmota monax (woodchuck). The record is from RNAcentral. Lineage: Eukaryota; Metazoa; Chordata; Mammalia; Rodentia; Sciuridae.